AAAGAGCUUGCUCUUUUCAGAAUUGAGUGGCAAACGGGUGAGUAACACGUAAACAACCUGCCUUCAGGAUGGGGACAACAGACGGAAACGACUGCUAAUACCGAAUAAGUUCCAAGGGCCGCAUGGCCCAUGGAAGAAAAGGUGGCCUCUACCUGUAAGCUAUCGCCUGAAGAGGGGUUUGCGUCUGAUUAGCUGGUUGGAGGGGUAACGGCCCACCAAGGCGACGACUCAGUAGCCGGUCUGAGAGGAAGGUCCCCACAUUGGAACUGAGACACGGUCCAAACUCC
This 287-nucleotide ribosomal RNA is filed under the name uncultured Dialister sp. RNAcentral describes it as "partial 16S ribosomal RNA". It matches the Rfam family "Bacterial small subunit ribosomal RNA", at positions 73 to 339 of the family's 1533-position model. The record is from RNAcentral. Lineage: Bacteria; Bacillati; Bacillota; Negativicutes; Veillonellales; Veillonellaceae.